AUUGAACGCUGGCGGCAGGCCUAACACAUGCAAGUCGAGCGGAUGAAGGGAGCUUGCUCCUGGAUUCAGCGGCGGACGGGUGAGUAAUGCAUAGGAAUCUGCCUGGUAGUGGGGGAUAACGUCCGGACACGGGCGCUAAUACCGCAUCCGUCCUGAGGUUGAACGUGGUGGAUCUUCGGACCUAACCCUAUCAGAUGAGCCUAGGUCGGAUUAGCUAGUUGGUGUGGUAAAGGCCUACCAAGGCGACGAUCCGUAACUGGUCUGAGAGGAUGAUCAGCCACACUGGAACUGAGACACGGUCCAGACUCCUACGGGAGGCAGCAGUGGGGAAUAUUGGACAAUGGGCGAAAGCCUGAUCCAGCAACGCCGCGUGUGUGAAGAAGGUCUUCGGAUUGUAAAGCACUGUAAGUUGGGAGGAAGGGCAGUAAGUUAAUACCUGGCUGUUUUGACGUUACCAACAGAAUAAGCACCGGCUAACUUCGUG
This 484-nucleotide ribosomal RNA is filed under the name uncultured bacterium. Its description in RNAcentral is "partial 16S ribosomal RNA". It matches the Rfam family "Bacterial small subunit ribosomal RNA", at positions 30 to 507 of the family's 1533-position model. The record is from RNAcentral.